Long non-coding RNA from Sander lucioperca (pikeperch), 1763 nucleotides. RefSeq lists it as uncharacterized. NCBI's taxonomy places the organism in Eukaryota, Metazoa, Chordata, Actinopteri, Perciformes, Percidae. The record is from RefSeq and is a predicted model, not a curated record. The transcript has 3 exons.
GCAGCACAGCUCCAACAGCAGGAAGGCCAGUGUGUCUUUAUGCUGUGCCAUGGCCAUUGUUGCUUGGAGCAAGGUUGUUGAGGACCUUAACCCAGCAGACCUAUGGAUUCUGUUCAUUAUGAGCACUGAUUAUUAACACGGGUUGGCAUGAAAGCUGGGGCAGUUGUGUGUGUGUUAAGAGAUGUGCUCUUGUAAUUACUCAGUAGGACAUUCUUCUGCACAGGCCUCUCCUUUAACCUCAGUGUUGGUGGGGAGGAACACACUUCCACGAUCGAUUCCUAUCUCCUCCUGCCUUCAACUUUCCCUAUUUCACCCCCCCCCAUCUCUGCUGCAUGCUGAAAGGACCUGUGGUAAACUUGAAUCCUCAUUGAGAAACAGCUUUAGUGACCAUAUUUUUUUUUAAAUCCAGUAACAGCACUGCCCUCCCCAGCAAACAGUUACAGGGUGGAGGUCAUUAAAGGGUAAAUUCGUUUUUUUUUUUUUUCUUCAACCUGGACACUGUUUUCCCAUGUUUGUAUGUCUAUGUGUGUCUAAAACUCUUUGAAAUUGGUCCAGUAUUAAGCAAGCAGUUGGCAGAGACAAAACAAGCUACAACGUUAACGUUAAUGGGCAAUUGCGCGCCUUUAAUUUCCAUUCACUAAAAGUGCUGUUUUUGCCCCUGACAUGCUUAGAUUGUUUUUCUUAGUGUCUGACGAGUUUCAUUAACUGGGUGAACCAACCAGCCAGAUGUUAAAAACAUUCGGGGUUCAGCCCAAACAUAGGCGGGUCUGUGGGCAUGCUCCCCCGUGUACCAUAUGCACUAUUUUUUCAAGCCAAUUGAUAAUAUAAUCUGCACAUCAUUUGAUAAAACAUGAUAGUUGCUAAGGACAAAAAAUCAUCCUGUAGAGCCUACAUCUAUCUAAUUGUUCUUCAACUGUCUUUAGUAUUCUGAAACUAGAACACAACAAAUGUUAAGGAUGAAUCAUUUUUACUCCUGUCACCUAAAAAGAGGCAAACAUUGUCUGAUGUUAAUAUUUUUAAGUCCCAUAACACGGGUAGGGUAGGAAUUUGGCAUAAACAGCAUUACUAAUCUUGAAACCCAUUUUUGUUAUAAUGUUAUACUAAAUCUACUACAUUUUAUUGAAAUGCCAUAAUAAUCUGGGCUGCUCUAAUUGCAAAUCAAGGAUCCUUAACAAUGUCAAGUAAACAUGGUCUUAAAUGCUAUGAUUUGAAUAUUAGGCCAACAGAAGAACAUUUGCAUUUUAUUAGAUUUAUUUAGGGAAUAGCAUAGUAGUAGCAGUAGUAUAGAACAGUUGAAAGUAUUUUGAAUGCCUAAAAGAUUCGGGACUUUUGAGAAAACAUUUGGGGCUGGAGCUCCAGUUGCAAAAAGGCCAACAGUAUGGAUUUAAUAAACAUUAACUUUCUCAAGAGCUAUUUUUGAAGGGAACACAAACAAUACAGCCAAAAUAGUACAGUUGUAGAGGAUAUGUGUAGUUGUGGAACUCCAGCAAGUAGGCUGGCAAGACUAUUUUAUUCACUUUAAACAUUGGAUGAAGUUAUUCUUUUCUGUAAUAAAGAUGAUACUGAACGGAGUACUGAGCCUCAUAGCAAGCAAGCUAACUAACAAGCCAGUCAGCUCAUUGUCUGUAACCAGUGAAAGCAUGUUGGGUGGAAUUAGCAAGUUAGCUAGCUAACUAACUAUCAAACAAGCUACCAAACAAGCUAGGUAACGUUAUAAUCGCUAACAUAGAGGAUUCAUGGAAAAAUCAAAGUUGUGUGUAAAG